RNAcentral lists this unclassified non-coding RNA (79 nucleotides) under plant metagenome. RNAcentral's name for it is "partial contains internal transcribed spacer 2 and large subunit ribosomal RNA". The record is from RNAcentral.
GAACUGUCUCUUAUACCACAUCUCCCCGAGCCCACGAGUUUGAACUCGGAUCAGGUAGGAAUACCCGCUGAACUUAAGC